This 253-nucleotide ribosomal RNA is filed under the name uncultured bacterium. RNAcentral's name for it is "partial 16S ribosomal RNA". It matches the Rfam family "Bacterial small subunit ribosomal RNA", at positions 524 to 776 of the family's 1533-position model. The record is from RNAcentral.
UACGUAGGAGACGAGCGUUGUUCGGAUUUAUUGGGCGUAAAGGGUGCGUAGGCGGCGGAGUAAGUUGGGUGUGAAAUCCCGGGGCUUAACCUCGGAAUGGCAUUCAAUACUGCUUCGCUAGAGUACUGGAGAGGAGGCUGGAAUUUACGGUGUAGCAGUGAAAUGCGUAGAUAUCGUAAGGAAGGCCGGUGGCGAAAGCGAGCCUCCGGACAGUUACUGACGCUGAUGCACGAAGGCCAGGGGAGCAAACGGG